UCAAAAAUUAUCAUGAUAUUAGGUAACUUAUUGACUGAAACAUUCAUAAGAAUUUUUAGCUGGAGCACGACUCCUUACACAAGGACUGAAAUCAUCAACAAAGCUAGCAACAUAACACAAAUAGUUCGCAGCUUGGCCGCUUGUGUCACAAACAAUAUCUUGCUCCUAACAUAUAUAUUGACAAAACAUUUAUCCUGAUGCCUGAAAGAAUCACUAAACUUUUAUACCUCGGCUUCCUCGACAUUUUCUUCUUCCUCCCCACUAAUAUCUUGCUCCUCGUCGCCAUGAUAAUGCAAGUUUAAAAAUUGGCUGCCAUCGUUCUCGUCCUCAUCAAACUCUGGAGCUAUGUGCCCAGUACUACCACGAAUGAGCUCGUGCAUUAACUCGUCCGUAGGAUCCAUUUCCACUACCUGAAACAUUAAAAAAACAUUAAGUAUUUUCUAGUACCAAUAAAAUGUACAUAUUUGCAAAAAUAUUGUAUCAGAAGAGAGUGUAGAAUAUUUCAUGGCUACUCAAUUAUUUACCAAAGACAUGAACCGUGAGAGUGUAAAAAUAUUGUAUCUUGCUGCUGAAUUACUUGGUGCAAAAAUACAGCAGAAUGAACACUGCCCGAUUGAAGAUGCCCGAGCUGCGAUGUUCAUUUACAACAAGCACAAGAAAGCAUGGGAGAAGAGCAUGAAGCGAGGGAAAAAGAAACCUGCUGAGCCCAAUGUGAAUGACCCCAAUGUCCCCACUGUUCUUCUAUAAUGCAUCAGAACCUGUGUGAACCAUUUCCCUAGAAGUCUUUCAUUCUGACAAGGGGGUGACAGGACGGGGUUGCUGAGAAUUGGAUUCUGAGGACUGGGGUGCCUUGCAGCAAUUGUAGCAGGUGUGAAACCUCUCUGCUGCUCAUGCCGUUUCCUAACUAUAAACUGGUGCUGGUGCAGUGGCAGGGAGUUCGUGUCCAACAUGUGCAGGAUGACCACCAUGAGCAAGGAGCAGGCGAACAUCGGGAUGGGCCCGAAGAUCCACAUGAGCAGCGUAACAUAUUUGCAAAAAUAUUGUAUGAGAAGAGAGUGUAGAAUAUUUCAUGGCUACUCAAUUAUUUACUAAAGACAUGAACCGUGAGAUUUUCUA
Long non-coding RNA from Panicum virgatum (switchgrass), 1116 nucleotides. RefSeq lists it as uncharacterized. Lineage: Eukaryota; Viridiplantae; Streptophyta; Magnoliopsida; Poales; Poaceae. The transcript is spliced from 3 exons. The record is from RefSeq and is a predicted model, not a curated record.